This 119-nucleotide ribosomal RNA is filed under the name Pteropus alecto (black flying fox). Lineage: Eukaryota; Metazoa; Chordata; Mammalia; Chiroptera; Pteropodidae. The record is from RNAcentral.
GUCUACAGCCAUGCUACCCUGAACAAGCCCGAUCCCGUCUGAUCUUGGAAGCUAAGCAAGGUCGGGCCUGUUUAAUACUUGGAUGGGAGACUACCUAGGAAGACCAGGUGCUGUAGGCG